This 410-nucleotide ribosomal RNA is filed under the name Verrucomicrobiota bacterium. Its description in RNAcentral is "Verrucomicrobia bacterium partial 16S ribosomal RNA". It matches the Rfam family "Bacterial small subunit ribosomal RNA", at positions 355 to 776 of the family's 1533-position model. Lineage: Bacteria; Pseudomonadati; Verrucomicrobiota. The record is from RNAcentral.
UGGGGAAUCUUGCACAAUGGGCGAAAGCCUGAUGCAGCGACGCCGCGUUCGGGAUGAAGGCCUUCGGGUUGUAAACCGCUUUCAGCAGGGACGAGGCCGCAAGGUGACGGUACCUGCAGAAGAAGCCCCGGCUAACUACGUGCCAGCAGCCGCGGUAAUACGUAGGGGGCAAGCGUUAUCCGGAUUCAUUGGGCGUAAAGCGCGCGUAGGCGGUCUGUUAGGUCAGGAGUCAAAUCUGGGGGCUCAACCCCUAUCCGCUCCUGAUACCGGCAGGCUUGAGUCUGGUAUGGGAAGGUGGAAUUCCAAGUGUAGCGGUGAAAUGCGCAGAUAUUUGGAAGAACACCAGUGGCGAAGGCGGCCUUCUGGGCCAUGACUGACGCUGAGGCGCGAAAGCUAGGGGAGCGAACAGG